GGCGCAAGGGUGCGUAACACGUGGGUAAUUUGCCGCGAAGUUGGGGAUAACUCGCUGAAAGGCGAGCUAAUACCGGAUUGUGAUCACUUGGUGGCAUCAUUGGGUGAUUAAAGUUGGGGACCCGCAAGGGCCUGACGCUUCGCGAUAAGCCCGCGGCCUAUCAGCUAGUUGGUUGAGGUAACGGCUCACCAAGGCUAAGACGGGUAGCUGGUCUGAGAGGACGACCAGCCACACUGGAACUGAGAGACGGUCCAGACACCUACGGGUGGCAGCAGUCGAGAAUUUUUCACAAUGGGCGCAAGCCUGAUGGAGCGACGCCGGUGGGGGAUGAAGGGCUUCGGCUCGUAAACCCCUGUCAUUUGCGAACAAACCUUGAAGGUCAAUAGCCUUUAAGCUGAUUGUAGCGAAAGAGGAAGGGACGGCUAACUCUGUGCCAGCCGCCGCGG
Molecule: ribosomal RNA, 446 nt
Filed under: uncultured bacterium
Lineage: Bacteria
Description: bacterial SSU rRNA
Rfam family: Bacterial small subunit ribosomal RNA
Source: RNAcentral